UGAUGUUGAAUUCAUCGCUUUCCAAAAUUCAAAAUAAGUGUGAUAUCAAUCGUGCUAAAUCCGUAAAUGCACAUACUAAUUGGUAUAAGUAAGCCACGUCUCUCGGUUCAAAAGGCUCUAAUUUUUUACCGACAAAUCUUAUCCUGACACGCAUGUAAGAAACACAGAGCUUUUGUCCCCAUUUGGGUUAAGGGAUCUUGCCUGUUCUUGGACAUGUGUUAUUUAUAAAGUUAUGCAAGUCUUGAUUCAUAUUUCCAUUGAUAGACAACUAGAAAGCUAGCCAGCCAAGUAUUCUAUUGAUUGUUUGUACUCAAAAUAUAGAACUAGUAUCAUCCAGGGCACGUGAUGGCUUAUCUAACUAUCCACCAUAAAAACCCACCUAGGAAAAAGACAAAGUACUAAAGUUGAAAAUGACCAUUAGGGUAAUAUUAGUUGUAUGCAUUGUUCAAAGCUUUUAAGGAUACAGCACAUGCACAAAAGGCACAAAAGCACAUGUCCACCAAUUCUAUUUGCUGUUUGGUUUUGUGCAAUUCCACUCUUAAGCAAAAUUCAAAGAAGGAAACUUUAAUUAAUUGUUGAAAAGAAGAGAGUAGGAUUCACAUGAAAUAUUAUACUCUUGUUAUGGAAAUACAUAGACCUAAUAAUUUUUUUUUUU
Molecule: long non-coding RNA, 655 nt
Filed under: Manihot esculenta (cassava)
Lineage: Eukaryota; Viridiplantae; Streptophyta; Magnoliopsida; Malpighiales; Euphorbiaceae
Description: long non-coding RNA (MESC_LNC006143)
Source: RNAcentral